AUUGAACGCUGGCGGCAGGCCUAACACAUGCAAGUCGAGCGAGCGGCGGACGGGAGAGUAAUGUAUGGGGACUGCCCGAUAGCGGGGGAUAACUACUGGAAACGGUGGCUAAUACCGCAUACCAUAGGCUAACCCAUAGUGGAUUAGCUAGUAGGUGUGGUAAAGGCUCACCUAGGCGACGAGCUCUAGCUGGUCUGAGAGGAUGAUCAGCAACACUGAGACUGAGACACGGCCCAGACUCCGACGGAGGCAGCAGUGGGGAAUAUUGCACAAUGGGCGCAAGCCUGAUGCAGCCAUGCCGCGUGUAUGAAGAAGGCCUUAGGGUUGUAAAGUACUUGCAGCGGGGAGGCGUUACCCGCGGAAGAAGCACUGGCUAACUCCGUGCCAGCAGCCGCGGUAAUUC
Molecule: ribosomal RNA, 403 nt
Filed under: uncultured bacterium
Lineage: Bacteria
Description: partial 16S ribosomal RNA
Rfam family: Bacterial small subunit ribosomal RNA
Source: RNAcentral